RNAcentral lists this transfer RNA (71 nucleotides) under Loxodonta africana (African savanna elephant). It matches the Rfam family "tRNA". From Rfam's summary of the family: Transfer RNA (tRNA) molecules are approximately 80 nucleotides in length. Their secondary structure includes four short double-helical elements and three loops (D, anti-codon, and T loops). Further hydrogen bonds mediate the characteristic L-shaped molecular structure. tRNAs have two regions of fundamental functional importance: the anti-codon, which is responsible for specific mRNA codon recognition, and the 3' end, to which the tRNAs corresponding amino acid is attached (by aminoacyl-tRNA synthetases). tRNAs cope with the degeneracy of the genetic code in two manners: having more than one tRNA (with a specific anti-codon) for a particular amino acid; and 'wobble' base-pairing, i.e. permitting non-standard base-pairing at the 3rd anti-codon position. The record is from Rfam by way of RNAcentral. Lineage: Eukaryota; Metazoa; Chordata; Mammalia; Proboscidea; Elephantidae.
GCAGUGGUGGUUCAGUGGUAGAAUCCUUGCCUUCCAUGCAGAAGACCCAGGUUCGGUUCCCAGCCAGUGCA